AUAUGGUGAAAUUGGAUUACCUACUUUGCUAUAUGUUCUUAAUGAAAUAUACGAGCCCACCAAUCUUGAUUGAACAGUUUGGAUUUCUUGAUUGCGUUAAUGCAGGAUUGCCUUAACCUUAACCCAAAACCGUCAUAUGGCCUUGUAGGAUGUCAAUAUUCCAUCUUAAUCAGGGUUAAGCAACUAGUCUAAACUGUUAUGAAACAAAUAUCCUAAAUGCUAGACAUCAUGAGAUAAAGAAGUACCUUAAUGACAUCACAGCUGCUGCUAAAGACACCCCAGCAACAGAAUUGAAAUUUGGAAGCUGAGACAGGAAGAAAUGGAUGGCACCAAAAAUCAGAAUCCAGUAAGUUUGCUUGAGUUGUGUGCAAUUGGUGCAUGCUAACUCUGUAAACUUCUUUAGGCACUGCCCCCCAAUAACCAUGUAGACAAUGUCACACCCAACUUGAACAAUAAGUUGCUGGGGGAGCACAAUCCAGGGUCCAAGUUUUGGUCCAAAAGCAUGUCGACCAAGAUCAAUAUAGCGAUCGAAACGAGUUCCCGGAACACACUCAUGUAGCUGGAUCAUUUGCCACAUUGAGUUUAAAGUCAGACACCAUGAUAGCAUCAACAACAAGAUCCCUGGAACCCUACAGAGAAGAGAAAAAGAUAAACUUUCAGCAGGAAAUUUGUCAAAUUGCCAACUUUUUGUGUGGGGUUGAAGCUAGUUCUUCAAGUUUACCAUCCUAGAUAUGCCAUGGCAUAUGGCAGGCCAAGAACACCUGCCCCUAUCAUGGCUGUCACUGUGUGGAAAGUUGAGUACCACCAUUUGGCGUCGCGAGAGGGGCCAUUCUCCACCCAUUUUCCUUCUGAUUGAGCUUCCUGCAACUGGACAAGAUGCAAAAACAAUAAGAGAAAAUAUGAUAUAAAAAUAUUCAUAUAAUCUUUACUUAACAAAUUAUGUUUAUAGCUGGUUGUAUCGGAGUCUUUAUGACUAAAUAGUCUAGAAUUUCAAUACAAGGUAUGUGUGCAUGUGCAUUUUGAAAUAGUAUAAGCUAUUUGUGUGAUAUUUACUCAACAUUUUAAGCUUUUGAAAUAGUGGGUUAAUGAGAAUAACAAUUGCAAGAGACCUUGCUGAGUGAUUAUGGAUAUGCACUGAAAUGGAAUUACCUUAGAAGGUGGAGAAGGAGCAGAAACCAUUUUAGCUAGCUCACAAAUCAAAGCAGACAAAGAAGACAAUGAUUUUGGAGUUCAAGUGAAGUACAUCAGCUAUGUAUAUAUAUGUGUGUGGUGAUUAAUUGACGUGUAAAAAAUAUUUGAUGCAAUAAUUUUAUAAACAUCUUGACCCUACUACAUAGUGACUUAACACUUUCAUAUCCAACUUUGCACUAUUUUAGGCUUUUAGCUUCAUCUCUGCCUAUAAAGCCUUUUUGGCUUAAAUCAAAUCAAAAUAAAAGAUGAGUGUAUUCAAAGAACAACAAGUUUGGGAGAAACAGGAAGUCUGAUCACUUGAUAAGUUGCAAGAUAUGGUCAACCCACUAAAUCCAACAGUCAAUGGGAGGUUAGUGAGGAAUUACUUUCACAUCACUAUCUGAUUCUGAUAAUACUUAAGCCUAACCCAAAUGCUGCCUUGUUACAAUGUAUGGGAGCUGUGGAGUUUAGAGUAAUAAUUUUCCUUUGUGGAUUCACUUUGUUAAAAUAUAUAACUCAAGAGAAUACUUUUUAUGAUGGAACAUCAUAUCAUAAAAACUUGCACUUUUUAUUAGGGGAGGUGAGUGAAUUGGUCUGAUGGCCAAAGAAUCAGUAUUGAGAAGAUCACAUAUAUUAUUAAUAUGUAAUGUAAAAGUGGCCGAAUCCUGAAGGUAAUGAGAAUUUUGAAAGAUUAAUUUAAUUUUGGAAUAAUGGGAAGGUUUUGCUUUGCAGGUAAGAGGGUAAGGCAUAUAAUCUUUCAUCAUUACACAUCUUGACAGUGGUAUUUUUUUUAUCCUUGGAAAUUAAGCCACUAAAUUCUGGGCUAAUAUGAUUGAAUUUUAUGAAUGCUAUUCUUGUCAAGUUAGUGGAGGGGAGGGGUCUCAUCAUCCUUCUUUGUGAAUGGCUACAACAUGUACUACCAGAAAUAGUAGUUAUUUGGCCCAUCUUAUCAUGGUUCUACUCUUGCCGCCAAGAAGAAAAUGAACCACAUCAGAUGUUAAGGAACCCACUUAGUGUGUAUUUGUUUAUUCAUUGAAUUGAAUGUGAAUGGAUUUUUUUUUUCAAUCCAACUUGGCUUAGUUGAAAAAACUGUAUUGGAAAUCAAAUAUGUUUGUUGAAUGUGGUUUCAACCAACCAACACACUCUUUAAGACUUCAUAUAUAAUUCAAUUGUUUUGGUGCAAAAAAUCAUUAUUCGAGAGUCAUUAUUAUGGGGUUGACUAACUAGAUUUAUAUGGAUUCAGUUCUAGUAAUACUAAUAGCAAAAAGGAAGAUUGACUACAAGACCCACAUUAAGCACGGAUGAAAGUCGGAUUUAGUGAUCCUACAUUGCAAAGUAGAAGGGUCGUGCUCAAUAGAUAAAAGUUACUUUAGGGAUAACAGACUAAUUUUCCCCAUAAGUUCAUAUCAAUGGAAAGGUUUGGCACCUCGAUGUCGGCUCUUUGCCAUUUAGAGCUGGGUUGUAGUGUGUUCUAAGGGUUAGGUUGUUCGCCCAUUAAUGAGUUAAGCUGGAUUCAAAGCGUCGUGAGACGAUUCAGCCCAUAUCCAAUGUACCGGGUGUUAGAGCAUUGAGAAGACCUUACACACCUGAUGCUUCAGUAUUAUAGGAAAAUAAAACCAAAACACAAUCAUCAAACAAUAAUAUAACGUGAAAAAUUCCAAAAAGUCAAGAAAUAAACGUGAUCUGUCACUAUGUGCAUGCAAGUUCUUACAACAUAUAGACUUCACUCUCAAACACUUUAUGAAUGCAUUAAACUCACACUUUCCAAAGUAAAUAUUUAAAAUAUUUAAAUUGAAUAAUUAUUUCUU
This 2978-nucleotide ribosomal RNA is filed under the name Lotus japonicus. RNAcentral's name for it is "bacterial LSU rRNA". The stretch from base 2304 to 2714 matches the Rfam family "Bacterial large subunit ribosomal RNA", at positions 2080 to 2641 of the family's 2925-position model. The record is from RNAcentral. Lineage: Eukaryota; Viridiplantae; Streptophyta; Magnoliopsida; Fabales; Fabaceae.